Solanum dulcamara is the source of this 150-nucleotide long non-coding RNA. RefSeq lists it as uncharacterized. Lineage: Eukaryota; Viridiplantae; Streptophyta; Magnoliopsida; Solanales; Solanaceae. The transcript is spliced from 3 exons. The record is from RefSeq and is a predicted model, not a curated record.
AAAGGAAGAAAGGUUGAGGGUUCUGAGUGAAGAUGAAAAUAAUCAAAGAUUGCUUUUUGUAACUGAAGAUGAUAUAAAGAGCUUACCUUGUCUUCAGAAUGACAUACUGAUAGCUAUUAAAGCUCCACAUGGCACGAGUUUAAAAGUCCC